ACAUGCAAGUCGAGCGGAUGAGAGGAGCUUGCUCCUUGAUUUAGCGGCGGACGGGUGAGUAAUGCCUAGGAAUCUGCCUGGUAGUGGGGGAUAACGUUCCGAAAGGAACGCUAAUACCGCAUACGUCCUACGGGAGAAAGCAGGGGACCUUCGGGCCUUGCGCUAUCAGAUGAGCCUAGGUCGGAUUAGCUAGUUGGUGAGGUAAUGGCUCACCAAGGCGACGAUCCGUAACUGGUCUGAGAGGAUGAUCAGUCACACUGGAACUGACACACGGUCCAUACUCCUACGGGAGGCAUCAGUGGGGAAUAUUGGACAAUGGGCGAAAGCCUGAUCCAGCCAUGCCGCGUGUGUGAAGAAGGUCUUCUGAUUGUAAAGCACUUUAAGUUGGGAGGAAGGGCAUUAACCUAAUACGUUAGUGUUUUGACGUUACCGACCGAAUAAGCACCGGCUAACUUCGUGCCAGCAGCCGCGGUAAUACCAAGGGUGCAAGCGUUAAUCUGAAUUACUGGGCGUAAAGCGCGCGUACGUGGUUCGUUAACUUGGAUGUGAAAACCCCGGGCUCAACCUGGGAACUGCAUCCAAAACUGGCGAGCUAGAGUACGGUAGAGGGUGGUGGAAUUUCCUGUGUGCGGUGAAAUGCGUAGAUAUAAGAAGGAACACCAGUGGCGAAACGACCACCUGGACUGAUACUGACACUGAGUGCGAAAGCGUGGGGAGCAAACAGGAUUAGAUACCCUGGUAGUCCACGCCGUAAACGAUGUCAACUAGCCGUUGGGUGCUUUGAGAACUUAGUGUCGCAGCUAAUGCAUUAAGAUGACCGCCUGUAGACUAUGGCCCGCGAGGUUAAAACUCAAUGAAUUGACAGGGGACCGCACAAGCGGUGGCACAUGUGGUUUAAUUCGAAGCAAUCGAAUAACCUUACCUGGCCUUGACAUGCUGAGAACUUGUCCAGAGAUGGAUUGGCUGCCUUCUGGAACUCA
RNAcentral lists this ribosomal RNA (980 nucleotides) under uncultured prokaryote. Its description in RNAcentral is "bacterial SSU rRNA". It matches the Rfam family "Bacterial small subunit ribosomal RNA", at positions 53 to 1030 of the family's 1533-position model. The record is from RNAcentral.